RNAcentral lists this ribosomal RNA (441 nucleotides) under Triticum aestivum (bread wheat). RNAcentral describes it as "partial small subunit ribosomal RNA". The record is from RNAcentral. Lineage: Eukaryota; Viridiplantae; Streptophyta; Magnoliopsida; Poales; Poaceae.
AUGCAGAUUGCUGGACUCAACACCCUCGGCAUCUCAAUUGCACGCAUCGACUAUGCUCCCUUGGGUCAGAACCCACCACAUACGCACCCUCGCGCCACUGAGAUCCUCACGGUGCUCGAGGGGACAUUGUAUGUUGGCUUUGUCACAUCCAACCAGCCCGCCCCCAACAGAAACAAGUUCUUCUCCAAGGUGCUCAACAAAGGUGAUGUGUUUGUCUUCCCCGUGGGGCUCAUCCACUUCCAAUUCAACCCCAACCCCCACCAGCCCGCUGUUGCAAUUGCCGCGCUUAGCAGCCAGAACCCAGGGGCUAUCACAAUUGCCAAUGCAGUGUUUGGGUCAGACCCACCAAUUUCAGAUGAUGUUCUUGCCAAGGCAUUUCAGGUGGAAAAGAAUACAAUAGACUAUCUCCAGGCUCAAUUUUGGGAGAACAACCACAACUAA